AUGCAAGUCGAGGGGCAUCAGUUUGGUUUGCUUGCAAACCAAAGCUGGCGACCGGCGCACGGGUGAGUAACACGUAUCCAACUUGCCCUUGUCCCGGGGAUAGCCUCGCGAAAGCGAGAAUAAUACCCGGUGUAGCCACGGUUCCGCAUGGAAUUGUGGCGAUAGGUCCGCCGGACAAGGAUAGGGAUGCGUCCCAUUAGGCAGUAGGCGGGGUAACGGCCCACCUAACCGACGAUGGGUAGGGGUUCUGAGAGGAAGGUCCCCACAUUGGUACUGAGACACGGACCAAACUCC
Molecule: ribosomal RNA, 294 nt
Filed under: uncultured bacterium
Lineage: Bacteria
Description: partial 16S ribosomal RNA
Rfam family: Bacterial small subunit ribosomal RNA
Source: RNAcentral